Molecule: ribosomal RNA, 913 nt
Filed under: uncultured Acidobacteriota bacterium
Lineage: Bacteria; Pseudomonadati; Acidobacteriota
Description: bacterial SSU rRNA
Rfam family: Bacterial small subunit ribosomal RNA
Source: RNAcentral
AGGGUUUGAUCCUGGCUCAGAAUCAACGCUGGCGGCGUGCCUCAGACAUGCAAGUCGAACGAUUAAAGCUCCCCUCGGGGAGUGCAUAAAGUGGCGCACGGGUGAGUAACACGUAAGUAAUCUACCCUCGGGUGGGGAAUAACAUCGGGAAACCGAUGCUAAUACCGCAUAAUGCAGCGGCACCGCAAGGUGACAGUUGUUAAAGAUUUAUUGCCUGGGGAGGAGCUUGCGGCAGAUUAGCUUGUUGGUAAGGUAACGGCUUACCAAGGCUACGAUCUGUAUCCGGUCUAAGAGGACGGUCGGACACACUGACACUGAAUAACGGGUCAGACUCCUACGGGAGGCAGCAGUCGGGAAUUUUGGGCAAUGGGGGAAACCCUGACCCAGCAACGCCGCGUGAAGGAUGAAGUAUUUCGGUAUGUAAACUUCGAAAGAAUAGGAAGAAUUAAUGACGGUACUAUUUAUAAGGUCCGGCUAACUACGUGCCAGCAGCCGCGGUAAUACGUAGGGACCAAGCGUUGUUCGGAUUUACUGGGCGUAAAGGGCGCGUAGGCGGCGCGGUAAGUCACUUGUGAAAUCUCUGAGCUUAACUCAGAACGGCCAAGUGAUACUGCAGUGCUAGAGUGUGGAAGGGGCAAUCGGAAUUCUUGGUGUAGCGGUGAAAUGCGUAGAUAUCAAGAGGAACACCUGAGGUGAAGACGGGUUGCUGGGCCAACACUGACGCUGAGGCGCGAAAGCCAGGGGAGCAAACGGGAUUAGAUACCCCGGUAGUCCUGGCCCUAAACGAUGAAUACUUGGUGUCUGGGGUUUUAAUGCUCCGGGUGCCGUCGCUAACGUUUUUAGUAUUCCGCCUGGGGAGUACGCUCGCAAGAGUGAAACUCAAAGGAAUUGACGGGGACCCGCACAAGCGGUG